RNAcentral lists this unclassified non-coding RNA (281 nucleotides) under Hevea brasiliensis (rubber tree). The record is from RNAcentral. Lineage: Eukaryota; Viridiplantae; Streptophyta; Magnoliopsida; Malpighiales; Euphorbiaceae.
AAGGGACACACAACAGGAAGAUAUCACAGGUUCAUCCUCUCUGUCUAGGGUUGGAACUUCAUCUACAUUCAGCAACUCAGAUCACAAGGGAUCACCCAUGAAUCCUCUUUCCAAAACCUAUAGUGAGAAGGAAGAUGCAGAGAAGACACAUCAUGAGUCGGAUGAUGCUGGGUUUUUGUUCAGAGAUACUAUUACUGCACAGACUCCUGUUGAUCAAUUCACGAAUUCAAGGUUUGCAAGUCCAAGUUUCUCUGGGGAUCAGGGGGUCCCUUGUGUUGGAA